GGUGAAGAACGUAGUGAAAUGCGAUAAGUAAUGUGAAUUGCAGAAUUCAGUGAAUCAUCGAAUCUUUGAACGCACAUUGCGCCCGCCAGUAUUCUGGCGGGCAUGCCUGUUCGAGCGUCAUUACAACCCUCAGGCCCCCGGGCCUGGCGUUGGGGAUCGGCGGAGCCCCCCGUGGGCACACGCCGUCCCCCAAAUACAGUGGCGGUCCCGCCGCAGCUUCCAUCGCGUAGUAGCUAACACCUCGCGACUGGAGAGCGGCGCGGCCACGCCGUAAAACACCCAACUCUUCUGAAGUUGACCUCGAAUCAGGUAGGAAUACCCGCUGAACUUAAGCAUAUCAAUAAGCGGAGGA
This 352-nucleotide unclassified non-coding RNA is filed under the name soil metagenome. RNAcentral's name for it is "partial contains 5.8S ribosomal RNA, internal transcribed spacer 2, and large subunit ribosomal RNA". The stretch from base 3 to 120 matches the Rfam family "5.8S ribosomal RNA", at positions 37 to 154 of the family's 154-position model. The record is from RNAcentral.